CCCGCCAGAGGACCCCUAAACUCUGUUUCUAUAUGUAACUUCUGAGUAGAACCAUAAAUAAAUCAAAACUUUCAACAACGGAUCUCUUGGUUCUGGCAUCGAUGAAGAACGCAGCAAAAUGCGAUAAGUAAUGUGAAUUGCAGAAUUCAGUGAAUCAUCGAAUCUUUGAACGCACAUUGCGCCCGCCAGUAUUCUGGCGGGCAUGCCUGUUCGAGCGUCAUUUCAACCCUCAAGCACAGCUAGGUGUUGGGACUCGCGUUAAUUCGCGUUCCUCAAAUUGAUUGGCGGUCACGUCGAGCUUCCAUAGCGUAGUAGUAAAACCCUCGUUACUGGUAAUCGUCGCGGCCACGCCGUUAAACCCCAACUUCUGAAUGUUGACCUCGGAUCAGGUAGGAAUACCCGCUGAACUUAAGCAUAUCAAUAAGCGGAGG
This 431-nucleotide ribosomal RNA is filed under the name uncultured fungus. RNAcentral's name for it is "eukaryotic LSU rRNA". The stretch from base 67 to 220 matches the Rfam family "5.8S ribosomal RNA". Lineage: Eukaryota; Fungi. The record is from RNAcentral.